RNAcentral lists this long non-coding RNA (1041 nucleotides) under Felis catus (domestic cat). RNAcentral describes it as "lncRNA (ENSFCAG00000051999.1)". Lineage: Eukaryota; Metazoa; Chordata; Mammalia; Carnivora; Felidae. The record is from RNAcentral.
UGCCCCGCGAAACCUUGCCGGGCCUCCGGCGGCCACAGAAGUCCAGCACUCCCGCCUAGAGAGGACCCGGAAGAGGCGGGGCGCGAGCUCAGAAGCCGCUUCCGGCUUCAGCCCGGCCUGGAGGGCGGAGGGCGCCAGGGCGGGGCGUGGGCCCGAGAACUUGAGGAGCUGGGUUAAGAAAUGGGGAGGUGUGAGGGGGCUGCGCUGCGCGGGGUGGCGGACGGUGGCCGGAGGCCGCGGGGGGCGGGACAGGCGCUGGUCUGCGAGGCUGCACCCUCGCAGCUCUCUGCCCUGUGCCUGAGCUCUGGGCCUUUUCCGUCGUGAAAUACAGUCCUGGGGCUCCUGGGGAGCCUUAGCGCUGCGCGAGCCCUGGGGGCAGGGCGUAGAGUGCUUCGAGCCGUGGGGAGAUGCGAAGGGAACUCCAGCAGGGAAAGUGGGGAGUGCUUUCCCCUACAAAGGUGGGAAAGCAGGUGUGAGGCGCGAAGAAUCUUUUAAACUAAUAUUCUUUAAAUGUCUAUUUGGAGGAGAGGCCAAGUCUGUGGAGAAGGCUGAAAGGGGACCAACCAGCCCAAACUUGCUAGAAGAAACAGUUCAGCCCAGGAAGCAUUGCUAAUGAAGGCCCUAACAAGUCGCGGGAGAGGCUACCAGCCCCAGCCUUUGGACAGCAUGACACGGAGGGCUGCAACAAGGUGAACAGAAGAGUGGCUCCUGGGGAUAGGCUGAUUAUCAUUUCCCAGGCCCUCUGAGGACCCUGGGUUUCUUGGGGAGCUGGCCUUUAGAGGCUGUGUAUGUGGCAGACACAGUAGCGAGUUGGACCAUGAGCUCUUCAAGGGGAAGGAGGGGGGCUGAGCUCAGACUUGGCCACCAAGCCCCAAGGGCUCCCUGGACAGUUCUCCCCUACUCAGUAGCAGCUUGAGUGCCAGGACCAGUUGUAUUUGCAAGGCCAGGCAUGGGUCACUGGCCUAGAGAUGCUGAUGCCUGCUGCAGGCUCAGAUGUACCCUUACCUCAGCAUCUCUUAGGGACUUGGGAACUCCUUGACU